This is a long non-coding RNA of Eptesicus fuscus (big brown bat), 979 nucleotides long. RefSeq lists it as uncharacterized. The transcript is spliced from 4 exons. The record is from RefSeq and is a predicted model, not a curated record. NCBI's taxonomy places the organism in Eukaryota, Metazoa, Chordata, Mammalia, Chiroptera, Vespertilionidae.
GGGGCGCCGGGCGGGGGGAGGCGGGGGCGCCGCUCCCCACUCCUAGGCCCCGGCGCGCCCCGUUCCGGCCGCCCGGGCCUAGCGCCCGCGGGGGACUCCGGCCGGCGCAGGUCCCGGCCCCACAGCGCCGCCGUCCCGCCCGGAGGCCGCGGGGACCCGCGGGGGCGCGGGGAGCCCCGGGUGCGGGGCAGGGCGCGGUCGCCACGGGGCCCCGCCGGCCCGAGGCCUAGCCGGCACCCCCGCCCCGCACCCCACCCCGGCCCGCAGGCCGCGCCGCUCGCUCCGCUCCGGCCCCGCAGGACCCGAUCAGAGUGAGAGGCGCUGGCGAUGGCCUCGGAAGCUCGGCGGCGCUGCGGCCGCUCCCCACUGGGCUCCGGCGAGAGCCUGUCCCUGUCAGGCGAGAGGGAUCUCCCUGAAAGCUGAGAUUGCUGAAGGACGGUUGCCAAGGGGUGUCUUUUUGUCUCCUUUCCUCAAAGCCAUGUGCAUCAAACCUCAUGGACUGCCCGGGAAGGCAGCAAAGCUCAGUAGCUAAAUGGAAUCUAAGUUACGGGGAGCUGAGGGAGCUGGCGCAGUGGUGGGAGAGAAAGGUGCUGCCCACUUGCAGCACUUCCCACAGAACUCCUGCCGGAGGAGAGUCAAGGGCAGAGAUACUUUGCUAUUUUUGUGAGAAAGAGGAGAAUAUUCGAAAAUAACCAGAGGAUCAUUUUGUUUGUUCUACAGGUCAUGGUGAGUCUUAUACUUAGUUAUUGUUCUGACACAUGUUGGCUCACCUAAUAGGAAUUGAUUUGUGAUAUGACUGCCUUGAGUCUCUUUCAUUUAAAAUUUAUUACAAUGCAUUAAGAAAUAACUGAUGACUCCACUUCAAAAUGUUUAUUUUUUUUUUUUUAGCUUACAAAUUGAGAAUUUUAAAGUAAGUUCGGAUAAUGCAUGUAUCAUGUUAUUUUCAUGCUGACCCCCAUCUUUAUCAUCUAAGUGUCCC